AUUAGUAAAAUGGAGAUGUCUGUUUGCAAUACUAAGCUAUUCAGUUUAGUAUUGCAAACAGACAUGUCCAUUUUACUUAUU
RNAcentral lists this microRNA precursor (81 nucleotides) under Hofstenia miamia. RNAcentral's name for it is "mir-92 microRNA precursor family". Lineage: Eukaryota; Metazoa; Xenacoelomorpha; Acoela; Hofsteniidae. The record is from RNAcentral.